CGCGCGGAUUAACUUACUGGCCUGCCCCUUGUUACCCAUGGGCAGCUCAGUAUACGCCCUCGCGACACCAACGGCCGUUGUGCUCCCCCCGCUUGCCGCUGCACCCACUCGCUCCGCGCGGGGCAGCAGCCGGGAGCUCGGCACACAC
RNAcentral lists this small nucleolar RNA (148 nucleotides) under Chlamydomonas reinhardtii. RNAcentral's name for it is "CrACA33b snoRNA". The record is from RNAcentral. Lineage: Eukaryota; Viridiplantae; Chlorophyta; Chlorophyceae; Chlamydomonadales; Chlamydomonadaceae.